This 498-nucleotide ribosomal RNA is filed under the name uncultured bacterium. RNAcentral's name for it is "partial 16S ribosomal RNA". It matches the Rfam family "Bacterial small subunit ribosomal RNA", at positions 30 to 523 of the family's 1533-position model. The record is from RNAcentral.
AUUGAACGCUGGCGGCAUGCCUUACACAUGCAAGUCGAACGGUAACAGGUCUUCGGAUGCCGACGAGUGGCGAACGGGUGAGUAAUACAUCGGAACGUGCCUAGUAGUGGGGGAUAACUACUCGAAAGAGUGGCUAAUACCGCAUGAGAUCUACGGAUGAAAGCAGGGGAUCGCAAGACCUUGUGCUACUAGAGCGGCCGAUGGCAGAUUAGGUAGUUGGUGGGAUAAAAGCUUACCAGGCCGACGAUCUGUAGCUGGUCUGAGAGGACGAUCAGCCACACUGGGACUGAGACACGGCCCAGACUCCUACGGGAGGCAGCAGUGGGGAAUUUUGGACAAUGGGCGAAAGCCUGAUCCAGCAAUGCCGCGUGCAGGAUGAAGGCCUUCGGGUUGUAAACUGCUUUUGUACGGAACGAAAAGCCCCGGGUUAAUACCCUGGGGUCAUGACGGUACCGUAAGAAUAAGCACCGGCUAACUACGUGGCAGCCGCCGCCGUAA